ACGACCGUAGCUCAGUUGGUUAGAGCACUACCUUGACAUGGUAGGGGUCGGUGGUUCGAAUCCACUCGGUCGUACCA
This 77-nucleotide transfer RNA is filed under the name Pseudoalteromonas haloplanktis. Its description in RNAcentral is "tRNA-Val". It matches the Rfam family "tRNA". From Rfam's summary of the family: Transfer RNA (tRNA) molecules are approximately 80 nucleotides in length. The record is from RNAcentral. Lineage: Bacteria; Pseudomonadati; Pseudomonadota; Gammaproteobacteria; Alteromonadales; Pseudoalteromonadaceae. RNAcentral also lists the same sequence under 139 other names.